Molecule: ribosomal RNA, 119 nt
Organism: Scophthalmus maximus (turbot)
Lineage: Eukaryota; Metazoa; Chordata; Actinopteri; Pleuronectiformes; Scophthalmidae
Source: Ensembl
GCUUACGGCCACACCGCCUGGUUCACGCCCGAUCUCGUUUGAUCUCGAAAGCUAAGAUAGGGUGGGCCUGGUUAGUACUUGGAUGGGAGACCGCCUGGGAAUACCAGGUGUUGUAAGAU